GUGGGGAAUAUUGGACAAUGGGGGGAACCCUGAUCCAGCCAUGCCGCGUGUGUGAAGAAGGCCUUUUGGUUGUAAAGCACUUUAAGCGAGGAGGAGGCUACCGAGAUUAAUACUCUUGGAUAGUGGACGUUACUCGCAGAAUAAGCACCGGCUAACUCUGUGCCAGCAGCCGCGGUAAUACAGAGGGUGCGAGCGUUAAUCGGAUUUACUGGGCGUAAAGCGUGCGUAGGCGGCUUUUUAAGUCGGAUGUGAAAUCCCCGAGCUUAACUUGGGAAUUGCAUUCGAUACUGGGAAGCUAGAGUAUGGGAGAGGAUGGUAGAAUUCCAGGUGUAGCGGUGAAAUGCGUAGAGAUCUGGAGGAAUACCGAUGGCGAAGGCAGCCAUCUGGCCUAAUACUGACGCUGAGGUACGAAAGCAUGGGGAGCAAACAGGAUUAGAAACCCUAGUAGUCC
This 451-nucleotide ribosomal RNA is filed under the name uncultured bacterium. RNAcentral describes it as "bacterial SSU rRNA". It matches the Rfam family "Bacterial small subunit ribosomal RNA", at positions 354 to 796 of the family's 1533-position model. The record is from RNAcentral.